RNAcentral lists this long non-coding RNA (355 nucleotides) under Anas platyrhynchos platyrhynchos (common mallard). RNAcentral's name for it is "lncRNA (ENSAPLG00000029409.1)". The record is from RNAcentral. Lineage: Eukaryota; Metazoa; Chordata; Aves; Anseriformes; Anatidae.
GUAUAUUUGUUAAGAGGCUAUUUGCAGAAGGCUUUCGUGGGGUGUCGAGCUGCUGGUUGUCAGUUCCACCUGGCAGAUACGAGCAAACACCUUCCUCUGGGGAGCACGUGGUGGAAGGUGAUGCUGUGAAGAUCCAAUUACACUGCACGAGUUACUUGAAAAAUGGGCAUCAUGUGGAAGAUACCAGAAUACACAGUAGCAAAGAGGUCCUAACUCCAAGAACUUAACUCUGCAGAGAGAGGAUGGGUGAUAAGAACAAGGAAAAGAGUAGGCUGCCAUUUCCAUCUGAAUUGCUAAGAAUGAAAGAAAAGGACAGAGCAGUGUGACUGUAAUGCACUGACAGGAUGGGUUGAGG